This 1405-nucleotide ribosomal RNA is filed under the name uncultured organism. Its description in RNAcentral is "16S ribosomal RNA". It matches the Rfam family "Bacterial small subunit ribosomal RNA", at positions 28 to 1399 of the family's 1533-position model. The record is from RNAcentral.
GACGAACGCUGGCGGCGUGCCUAAUACAUGCAAGUCGAACGAACUCUGGUAUUGAUUGGUGCUUGCAUCAUGAUUUACAUUUGAGUGAGUGGCGAACUGGUGAGUAACACGUGGGAAACCUGCCCAGAAGCGGGGGAUAACACCUGGAAACAGAUGCUAAUACCGCAUAACAACUUGGACCGCAUGGUCCGAGUUUGAAAGAUGGCUUCGGCUAUCACUUUUGGAUGGUCCCGCGGCGUAUUAGCUAGAUGGUGGGGUAACGGCUCACCAUGGCAAUGAUACGUAGCCGACCUGAGAGGGUAAUCGGCCACAUUGGGACUGAGACACGGCCCAAACUCCUACGGGAGGCAGCAGUAGGGAAUCUUCCACAAUGGACGAAAGUCUGAUGGAGCAACGCCGCGUGAGUGAAGAAGGGUUUCGGCUCGUAAAACUCUGUUGUUAAAGAAGAACAUAUCUGAGAGUAACUGUUCAGGUAUUGACGGUAUUUAACCUGAAAGCCACGGCUAACUACGUGCCAGCAGCCGCGGUAAUACGUAGGUGGCAAGCGUUGUCCGGAUUUAUUGGGCGUAAAGCGAGCGCAGGCGGUUUUUUAAGUCUGAUGUGAAAGCCUUCGGCUCAACCGAAGAAGUGCAUCGGAAACUGGGAAACUUGAGUGCAGAAGAGGACAGUGGAACUCCAUGUGUAGCGGUGAAAUGCGUAGAUAUAUGGAAGAACACCAGUGGCGAAGGCGGCUGUCUGGUCUGUAACUGACGCUGAGGCUCGAAAGUAUGGGUAGCGAACAGGAUUAGAUACCCUGGUAGUCCAUACCGUAAACGAUGAAUGCUAAGUGUUGGAGGGUUUCCGCCCUUCAGUGCUGCAGCUAACGCAUUAAGCAUUCCGCCUGGGGAGUACGGCCGCAAGGCUGAAACUCAAAGGAAUUGACGGGGGCCCGCACAAGCGGUGGAGCAUGUGGUUUAAUUCGAAGCUACGCGAAGAACCUUACCAGGUCUUGACAUACUAUGCAAAUCUAAGAGAUUAGACGUUCCCUUCGGGGACAUGGAUACAGGUGGUGCAUGGUUGUCGUCAGCUCGUGUCGUGAGAUGUUGGGUUAAGUCCCGCAACGAGCGCAACCCUUAUUAUCAGUUGCCAGCAUUAAGUUGGGCACUCUGGUGAGACUGCCGGUGACAAACCGGAGGAAGGUGGGGAUGACGUCAAAUCAUCAUGCCCCUUAUGACCUGGGCUACACACGUGCUGCAAUGGAUGGUACAACGAGUUGCGAACUCGCGAGAGUAAGCUAAUCUCUUAAAGCCAUUCUCAGUUCGGAUUGUAGGCUGCAACUCGCCUACAUGAAGUCGGAAUCGCUAGUAAUCGCGGAUCAGCAUGCCGCGGUGAAUACGUUCCCGGGCCUUGUACUCACCGCCCGUCA